GGUUAAGCGACUAAGCGUACACGGUGGAUGCCCUGGCAGUCAGAGGCGAUGAAGGACGUGCUAAUCUGCGAUAAGCGUCGGUAAGGUGAUAUGAACCGUUAUAACCGGCGAUUUCCGAAUGGGGAAACCCAGUGUGUUUCGACACACUAUCAUUAACUGAAUCCAUAGGUUAAUGAGGCGAACCGGGGGAACUGAAACAUCUAAGUACCCCGAGGAAAAGAAAUCAACCGAGAUUCCCCCAGUAGCGGCGAGCGAACGGGGAGCAGCCCAGAGCCUGAAUCAGUGUGUGUGUUAGUGGAAGCGUCUGGAAAGGCGCGCGAUACAGGGUGACAGCCCCGUACACAAAAAUGCACAUGCUGUGAGCUCGAUGAGUAGGGCGGGACACGUGGUAUCCUGUCUGAAUAUGGGGGGACCAUCCUCCAAGGCUAAAUACUCCUGACUGACCGAUAGUGAACCAGUACCGUGAGGGAAAGGCGAAAAGAACCCCGGCGAGGGGAGUGAAAAAGAACCUGAAACCGUGUACGUACAAGCAGUGGGAGCACGCUUAGGCGUGUGACUGCGUACCUUUUGUAUAAUGGGUCAGCGACUUAUAUUCUGUAGCAAGGUUAACCGAAUAGGGGAGCCGAAGGGAAACCGAGUCUUAACUGGGCGUUAAGUUGCAGGGUAUAGACCCGAAACCCGGUGAUCUAGCCAUGGGCAGGUUGAAGGUUGGGUAACACUAACUGGAGGACCGAACCGACUAAUGUUGAAAAAUUAGCGGAUGACUUGUGGCUGGGGGUGAAAGGCCAAUCAAACCGGGAGAUAGCUGGUUCUCCCCGAAAGCUAUUUAGGUAGCGCCUCGUGAAUUCAUCUCCGGGGGUAGAGCACUGUUUCGGCAAGGGGGUCAUCCCGACUUACCAACCCGAUGCAAACUGCGAAUACCGGAGAAUGUUAUCACGGGAGACACACGGCGGGUGCUAACGUCCGUCGUGAAGAGGGAAACAACCCAGACCGCCAGCUAAGGUCCCAAAGUCAUGGUUAAGUGGGAAACGAUGUGGGAAGGCCCAGACAGCCAGGAUGUUGGCUUAGAAGCAGCCAUCAUUUAAAGAAAGCGUAAUAGCUCACUGGUCGAGUCGGCCUGCGCGGAAGAUGUAACGGGGCUAAACCAUGCACCGAAGCUGCGGCAGCGACGCUUAUGCGUUGUUGGGUAGGGGAGCGUUCUGUAAGCCUGUGAAGGUGUACUGUGAGGUAUGCUGGAGGUAUCAGAAGUGCGAAUGCUGACAUAAGUAACGAUAAAGCGGGUGAAAAGCCCGCUCGCCGGAAGACCAAGGGUUCCUGUCCAACGUUAAUCGGGGCAGGGUGAGUCGACCCCUAAGGCGAGGCCGAAAGGCGUAGUCGAUGGGAAACAGGUUAAUAUUCCUGUACUUGGUGUUACUGCGAAGGGGGGACGGAGAAGGCUAUGUUGGCCGGGCGACGGUUGUCCCGGUUUAAGCGUGUAGGCUGGUUUUCCAGGCAAAUCCGGAAAAUCAAGGCUGAGGCGUGAUGACGAGGCACUACGGUGCUGAAGCAACAAAUGCCCUGCUUCCAGGAAAAGCCUCUAAGCAUCAGGUAACAUCAAAUCGUACCCCAAACCGACACAGGUGGUCAGGUAGAGAAUACCAAGGCGCUUGAGAGAACUCGGGUGAAGGAACUAGGCAAAAUGGUGCCGUAACUUCGGGAGAAGGCACGCUGAUAUGUAGGUGAAGCGACUUGCUCGUGGAGCUGAAAUCAGUCGAAGAUACCAGCUGGCUGCAACUGUUUAUUAAAAACACAGCACUGUGCAAACACGAAAGUGGACGUAUACGGUGUGACGCCUGCCCGGUGCCGGAAGGUUAAUUGAUGGGGUUAGCGCAAGCGAAGCUCUUGAUCGAAGCCCCGGUAAACGGCGGCCGUAACUAUAACGGUCCUAAGGUAGCGAAAUUCCUUGUCGGGUAAGUUCCGACCUGCACGAAUGGCGUAAUGAUGGCCAGGCUGUCUCCACCCGAGACUCAGUGAAAUUGAACUCGCUGUGAAGAUGCAGUGUACCCGCGGCAAGACGGAAAGACCCCGUGAACCUUUACUAUAGCUUGACACUGAACAUUGAGCCUUGAUGUGUAGGAUAGGUGGGAGGCUUUGAAGUGUGGACGCCAGUCUGCAUGGAGCCGACCUUGAAAUACCACCCUUUAAUGUUUGAUGUUCUAACGUUGACCCGUAAUCCGGGUUGCGGACAGUGUCUGGUGGGUAGUUUGACUGGGGCGGUCUCCUCCUAAAGAGUAACGGAGGAGCACGAAGGUUGGCUAAUCCUGGUCGGACAUCAGGAGGUUAGUGCAAUGGCAUAAGCCAGCUUGACUGCGAGCGUGACGGCGCGAGCAGGUGCGAAAGCAGGUCAUAGUGAUCCGGUGGUUCUGAAUGGAAGGGCCAUCGCUCAACGGAUAAAAGGUACUCCGGGGAUAACAGGCUGAUACCGCCCAAGAGUUCAUAUCGACGGCGGUGUUUGGCACCUCGAUGUCGGCUCAUCACAUCCUGGGGCUGAAGUAGGUCCCAAGGGUAUGGCUGUUCGCCAUUUAAAGUGGUACGCGAGCUGGGUUUAGAACGUCGUGAGACAGUUCGGUCCCUAUCUGCCGUGGGCGCUGGAGAACUGAGGGGGGCUGCUCCUAGUACGAGAGGACCGGAGUGGACGCAUCACUGGUGUUCGGGUUGUCAUGCCAAUGGCACUGCCCGGUAGCUAAAUGCGGAAGAGAUAAGUGCUGAAAGCAUCUAAGCACGAAACUUGCCCCGAGAUGAGUUCUCCCUGACCCUUUAAGGGUCCUGAAGGAACGUUGAAGACGACGACGUUGAUAGGCCGGGUGUGUAAGCGCAGCGAUGCGUUGAGCUAACCGGUACUAAUGAACCGUGAGGCUUAACCUU
RNAcentral lists this ribosomal RNA (2904 nucleotides) under Escherichia coli. RNAcentral's name for it is "23S ribosomal RNA". It matches the Rfam family "Bacterial large subunit ribosomal RNA". The record is from RNAcentral. Lineage: Bacteria; Pseudomonadati; Pseudomonadota; Gammaproteobacteria; Enterobacterales; Enterobacteriaceae.